GAUGAAGAACGUAGCGAAAUGCGAUAAUUAAUGUGAAUUGCAGAAUUCCGUGAAUCAUCGAGUCUUUGAACGCACAUUGCGCCUCAUGGCAUUCCGUGAGGCAUGCCCAUCUCAGCGUUAGAAAAUAUUCUCAAAUUUUAGUUUUGUGCUAAAAUUUGGAUCAUGUCAAAGAAGUUAUUACUAUUAUUAUGAUCGCUCUUUGGAAAUUGAUAGGUCUUUGAGUUGCUACUCAUAGAACGUGAUGAAUCUUUCUUCGUUCUAUUGUAAUUCACUCUGGUAGUCCUAAAACUUGUAUGCCUGUGGCAUAUCUUGUAAUUUGACCUGAGAUUGGGUAGGGAUACCCGCUGAACUUAAGCAUAUCAAUAAGCCGGAGGA
RNAcentral lists this unclassified non-coding RNA (375 nucleotides) under soil metagenome. RNAcentral's name for it is "partial contains internal transcribed spacer 2 and large subunit ribosomal RNA". The stretch from base 1 to 120 matches the Rfam family "5.8S ribosomal RNA", at positions 35 to 154 of the family's 154-position model. The record is from RNAcentral.